UGGACACAGGCAGCUGGGAUGGAAGGAUC
Molecule: non-coding RNA, 29 nt
Filed under: Homo sapiens (human)
Lineage: Eukaryota; Metazoa; Chordata; Mammalia; Primates; Hominidae
Source: RNAcentral